UACGGAGGGUGCAAGCGUUGCUCGGAAUUACUGGGCGUAAAGCGAACGCAGGCGGUUCAUUAAGUCGGGCGUGAAAGCCCCGGGCUCAACCUGGGAAUUGCACCCGAUACUGGUGAACUUGAGUCUGAGAGAGGGAAGCGGAAUUCCUGGUGUAGAGGUGAAAUUCGUUGAUAUCAGGAGGAACACCGGCGGCGAAGGCGGCUUCCUGGCUCAGUACUGACGCUCAUGUUCGAAAGCGUGGGGAGCGAACAGG
Molecule: ribosomal RNA, 253 nt
Filed under: uncultured bacterium
Lineage: Bacteria
Description: partial 16S ribosomal RNA
Rfam family: Bacterial small subunit ribosomal RNA
Source: RNAcentral